AGCAAGGUAAGCUAACUUAAGCUUUUAGGCCCAUACCCUAACGAUAAACAAUAGUUUCUUUGCUA
RNAcentral lists this transfer RNA (65 nucleotides) under Batillipes longispinosus. Its description in RNAcentral is "tRNA-Met". The record is from RNAcentral. Lineage: Eukaryota; Metazoa; Tardigrada; Heterotardigrada; Arthrotardigrada; Batillipedidae.